RNAcentral lists this ribosomal RNA (253 nucleotides) under uncultured prokaryote. RNAcentral's name for it is "partial 16S ribosomal RNA". It matches the Rfam family "Bacterial small subunit ribosomal RNA", at positions 525 to 777 of the family's 1533-position model. The record is from RNAcentral.
ACGUAGGGUGCAAGCGUUAAUCGGAAUUACUGGGCGUAAAGCGUGCGCAGGCGGCUCUGCAAGACAGAUGUGAAAUCCCCGGGCUCAACCUGGGAAUGGCAUUUGGGACUGCAAGGCUAGAGUGUGGCAGAGGAGACUGGAAUUCCUGGUGUAGCAGUGAAAUGCGUAGAUAUCAGGAGGAAUACCGAUGGCGAAGGCAGGUCUCUGGGCUGACACUGACGCUCAUGCACGAAAGCGUGGGGAGUAAACAGGA